GGGGUCGUAGUGUAGUUUGGCUAUCACUGGAGCUCGGGGAGCUUCCAACCGGAGUUCGAAUCUCCGCGACCCCA
This 74-nucleotide transfer RNA is filed under the name Candidatus Woesearchaeota archaeon CG10_big_fil_rev_8_21_14_0_10_30_7. RNAcentral describes it as "tRNA-Pro". It matches the Rfam family "tRNA". From Rfam's summary of the family: Transfer RNA (tRNA) molecules are approximately 80 nucleotides in length. Their secondary structure includes four short double-helical elements and three loops (D, anti-codon, and T loops). The record is from RNAcentral. Lineage: Archaea; Nanobdellati; Candidatus Woesearchaeota.